RNAcentral lists this ribosomal RNA (390 nucleotides) under Triticum aestivum (bread wheat). RNAcentral's name for it is "partial small subunit ribosomal RNA". The record is from RNAcentral. Lineage: Eukaryota; Viridiplantae; Streptophyta; Magnoliopsida; Poales; Poaceae.
AUGCGUGGAGGUGGUGGUUCCGAUGAACAAGAGGAAAUCCGAUUUGGUGGACUCCCGCUGCAGCCGUCAUGGGAUGGAUGCGUGGAGGCGGAGGUUCCGAUCAACAAGAGGAAAUCCGAUUUGGUGGAAGAAAUCCAUGUUAGAGAUGGUGAAACUGUCUUCGCAGCCCCACCGGCCAAGAUCUUGAGGAUUAGCCACAAGACGAAAGUGGCCACAAGAGGCAGCGGCGGUCUUCGUCGUGGUCGUGGUGGUGGACGCGGACGCGGUCGCGAGCGCGGACGAAGCUCUGCAGGUGAGUCAGCGCAGAAUUCUUCGUCCUCACUUGGCAACAGGUGCUGGCUGAUUGCGCCCUCUCCUCCGGUGCCUAACAGGCGCCUGUUUACAGCAUAG